This 440-nucleotide ribosomal RNA is filed under the name uncultured bacterium. RNAcentral describes it as "partial 16S ribosomal RNA". It matches the Rfam family "Bacterial small subunit ribosomal RNA", at positions 338 to 795 of the family's 1533-position model. The record is from RNAcentral.
CCUACGGGGGGCAGCAGUGGGGAAUAUUGCACAAUGGGGGAAACCCUGAUGCAGCGACGCCGCGUGAGUGAAGAAGUAUUUCGGUACGUAAAGCUCUAUCAGCAGGGAAGAAAAUGACGGUACCUGACUAAGAAGCCCCGGCUAACUACGUGCCAGCAGCCGCGGUAAUACGUAGGGGGCAAGCGUUAUCCGGAUUUACUGGGUGUAAAGGGAGCGUAGACGGCAGCGCAAGUCUGGAGUGAAAUCCCAUGGCUUAUCCAUGGAACUGCUUUGGAAACUGUGCAGCUAGAGUGCAGGAGAGGUAAGCGGAAUUCCUAGUGUAGCGGUGAAAUGCGUAGAUAUUAGGAGGAACACCAGUGGCGAAGGCGGCUUACUGGACUGUAACUGACGUUGAGGCUCGAAAGCGUGGGGAGCAAACAGGAUUAGAUACCCGGGUAGUC